Molecule: ribosomal RNA, 253 nt
Filed under: uncultured bacterium
Lineage: Bacteria
Description: partial 16S ribosomal RNA
Rfam family: Bacterial small subunit ribosomal RNA
Source: RNAcentral
UACGUAGGGUGCAAGCGUUAAUCGGAAUUACUGGGCGUAAAGCGUGCGCAGGCGGUGAUGUAAGACAGGUGUGAAAUCCCCGGGCUUAACCUGGGAACUGCAUUUGUGACUGCAUCGCUGGAGUGCGGCAGAGGGGGAUGGAAUUCCGCGUGUAGCAGUGAAAUGCGUAGAUAUCGAGAGGAACACCGGUGGCGAAGGCGGCGACCUGGGCAGAUACUGACACUGAGGUGCGAAAGCGUGGGGAGCAAACAGG